Molecule: ribosomal RNA, 443 nt
Filed under: uncultured bacterium
Lineage: Bacteria
Description: partial 16S ribosomal RNA
Rfam family: Bacterial small subunit ribosomal RNA
Source: RNAcentral
CCUACGGGGGGCAGCAGUGGGGAAUAUUGGACAAUGGGGGGAACCCUGAUCCAGCGACGCCGCGUGAGUGAAGAAGUAUUUCGGUAUGUAAAGCUCUAUCAGCAGGGAAGAAAGAAAUGACGGUACCUGACUAAGAAGCCCCGGCUAACUACGUGCCAGCAGCCGCGGUACUACGUAGGGGGCAAGCGUUAUCCGGAUUUACUGGGGGUAAAGGGAGCGUAGACGGCGAUGCAAGUCUGAAGUGAAAGGCGGGGGCCCAACCUCCGGACUGCUUUGGAAACUGUAUGGCUGGAGUGCAGGAGAGGUAAGUGGAAUUCCUAGUGUAGCGGUGAAAUGCGUAGAUAUUAGGAGGAACACCAGUGGCGAAGGCGGCUUACUGGACUGUAACUGACGUUGAGGCUCGAAAGCGUGGGGAGCAAACAGGAUUAGAUACCCCAGUAGUC